GACGAACGCUGGCGGCGUGCUUAACACAUGCAAGUCGAACGGAAAGGCCCUGCUUUUGUGGGGUGCUCGAGUGGCGAACGGGUGAGUAACACGUGAGUAACCUGCCCUUGACUUUGGGAUAACUUCAGGAAACUGGGGCUAAUACCGGAUAGGAGCUCCUGCUGCAUGGUGGGGGUUGGAAAGUUUCGGCGGUUGGGGAUGGACUCGCGGCUUAUCAGCUUGUUGGUGGGGUAGUGGCUUACCAAGGCUUUGACGGGUAGCCGGCCUGAGAGGGUGACCGGCCACAUUGGGACUGAGAUACGGCCCAGACUCCUACGGGAGGCAGCAGUGGGGAAUAUUGCACAAUGGGCGGAAGCCUGAUGCAGCAACGCCGCGUGCGGGAUGACGGCCUUCGGGUUGUAAACCGCUUUCGCCUGUGACGAAGCGUGAGUGACGGUAAUGGGUAAAGAAGCACCGGCUAACCACGUGCCAGCAGCCGCGGUGAUACGUAGGGUGCGAGCGUUGUCCGGAUUUAUUGGGCGUAAAGGGCUCGUAGGUGGUUGAUCGCGUCGGAAGUGUAAUCUUGGGGCUUAACCCUGAGCGUGCUUUCGAUACGGGUUGACUUGAGGAAGGUAGGGGAGAAUGGAAUUCCUGGUGGAGCGGUGGAAUGCGCAGAUAUCAGGAGGAACACCAGUGGCGAAGGCGGUUCUCUGGGCCUUUCCUGACGCUGAGGAGCGAAAGCGUGGGGAGCGAACAGGCUUAGAUACCCUGGUAGUCCACGCUGUAAACGGUGGGUACUAGGUGUGGGGUCCAUUCCACGGGUUCCGUGCCGUAGCUAACGCUUUAAGUACCCCGCCUGGGGAGUACGGCCGCAAGGCUAAAACUCAAAGGAAUUGACGGGGCCCCGCACAAGCGGCGGAGCAUGCGGAUUAAUUCGAUGCAACGCGUAGAACCUUACCUGGGUUUGACAUGGAUCGGGAGCGCUCAGAGAUGGGUGUGCCUCUUUUGGGGUCGGUUCACAGGUGGUGCAUGGCUGUCGUCAGCUUGUGUCGUGAGAUGUUGGGUUAAGUCCCGCAACGAGCGCAACCCUUGUUCACUGUUGCCAGCACGUUAUGGUGGGGACUCAGUGGAGACCGCCGGGGUCAACUCGGAGGAAGGUGGGGAUGACGUCAAGUCAUCAUGCCCCUUAUGUCCAGGGCUUCACGCAUGCUACAAUGGCUGGUACAGAGAGUGGCGAGCCUGUGAGGGUGAGCGAAUCUCGGAAAGCCGGUCUCAGUUCGGAUUGGGGUCUGCAACUCGACCUCAUGAAGUCGGAGUCGCUAGUAAUCGCAGAUCAGCAACGCUGCGGUGAAUACGUUCCCGGGGCU
RNAcentral lists this ribosomal RNA (1346 nucleotides) under uncultured bacterium. RNAcentral describes it as "bacterial SSU rRNA". It matches the Rfam family "Bacterial small subunit ribosomal RNA", at positions 28 to 1381 of the family's 1533-position model. The record is from RNAcentral.